This 242-nucleotide long non-coding RNA is filed under the name Olea europaea subsp. europaea. The record is from RNAcentral. Lineage: Eukaryota; Viridiplantae; Streptophyta; Magnoliopsida; Lamiales; Oleaceae.
UACAUGCCAAUGAACGAAACUCCAGAAACUGUCCACCUGAGACUGUCCCUUGGCCCGUAGGUCCUGACACAAGGUUAGAAUUCUAGCUCUUCCAGAGUGGUAUCUCACUGAUGGCUUGGGCCCCCCCCGGAAGGAGGCCUUCUUCGCCUUCCACCUAAGCUGCGCAGGAAAGGCCUAAACCCAAUCUCAGGGAAUAGUGAAGCUUCAUAGGGUCUUUCUAUCCAGAUGCCGAUAGUCCGUAU